RNAcentral lists this long non-coding RNA (4797 nucleotides) under Lathyrus oleraceus (garden pea). Its description in RNAcentral is "Pisum sativum (pea) long non-coding RNA (PSAT_LNC032684)". The record is from RNAcentral. Lineage: Eukaryota; Viridiplantae; Streptophyta; Magnoliopsida; Fabales; Fabaceae.
UUCAAGUUGGUAACAUUUACAAGUGGGGUCAUGUUGUGGAGAUUACCGAGAACAAGAAUAGAGCUGGAUUGGGAUUUCAACUAGGGCCAUUCAGUGCCAGAGCCAAAGUUAUGCAACCAAUUUUCUGCAGUGGAGGGUUCAUUAGUGAGAAUGAUCAACACUUAGCCGCCAUUAUUGAAGACAGUGGUGAUGAAGACGAAGCUUGCGCCAACUUUGUGACGCAUGGCCAGACUUGCAACAACUGGAUUGUUGUUGAUGUUCCUGUUUUCAUUCAUCGUUCUAAGUAAUUUGUUUUAUUUAUUUUAAGAAAAUCCUUCUCUUAUGCCUAAGGGAGAAGUGAACAUUGUUGGGCAUUUUAUUAUUAUCAUCAAUAAAAUACGAUUUUAUUCAUCCACAUCUAUGAUGUUUUAUAUUUUCUUUUUGCUUUUUGCUUUUUCUGAAAAUGGUAAUCACAAAAAACAUAACAAAUAGUAAUCUUCCAUCUGCAUAAUAUUUGUUCACACUCCACUUCUCUAAAAUCAAAAUAUCAAAUGAUUAUGCAGGUUGGUUCUCAAACCCAUUGAAUACAAUGAUCCUACUCCCUCUCCAAACUUUGAUUUCCAUGUGUUUGAAGCUAAGGAAGAAAGUGAUGAUGAAGAAAUAUCUGAUGAAUUAUCUCGUUUGCUUAAGCACGAGGAAAAAGUCGUUCAGCCAUUUAAAGAACAAAUUAGUCAACUUGGGUUCCGAGGACGAUGUGAAAGAAGUCAAUAUUGGGUCUCAACUUUGUCUAGAAGCUAAGAAGGGGUUGAUUGAUCUUCUUCGAGAUUAUUCUGAUGUGUUUGCUUGGUCCUAUCAAGACAUGCCAGGGUUGGAUUCUGAGAUUGUGGAGAAUAGAUUGCCGUUGAAGCCAGAAUGUCCGCCAGUCAAGCAGAAGUUAAGAAGAACUCAUCCUGAUAUAGCAGUUAAGAUCAAAGAGGAAGUGCAGAAGCAGAUUGAUGCUGGUUUUCUUGUAACCUCUGAAUAUCCGCAGUGGGUGGCCAAUAUUGUGCAUGUUCCUAAGAAAGAUGGAAAAGUACGCAUCUGUGUUGAUUAUAGAGAUUUGAAUAAAGCUAGUCCAAAAGAUGAUUUUCCUCUGCCACACAUUGAUAUGUUGGUAGACAAUACAUCUAAAUUCAAAGUCUUUUCAUUUAUGGAUGGAUUUUCCAAUUAUAAUCAAAUCAAGAUGGCACCCGAAGAUAUGGAGAAGACCACAUUCAUUACACCCUGGAGAAUAUUCUGUUAUAGAGUGAUGCCUUUCGGUUUAAAGAAUGCUGAUGCAACGUACCAGAGAGCUAUGACCACUCUUUUUCAUGAUAUGAUGCAUAAAGAGAUUAAAAUUUAUGUUGAUGAUAUGAUUGCCAAGUCAAGUGAUGAAGAAGAGCAUGUUGAGCAUUAGUUAAAGUUAUUCCAGCGAUUGAGGAAGUACAAACUCCACUUGAAUCCCAAUAAGUGUACUUUUGGUGUUCGUUCUGGUAAGUUAUUGGACUUUAUUGUCAGUGAGAAGGGUAUUGAAGUUGAUCCUGCCAAGGUCAAAGCAAUACAAGAAAUGCCUGCGCCCAAAACUGAGAAGCAAGUCAGAGGAUUUCUCGGCCGCUUGAAUUAUAUCUCAAGAUUUAUAUCGCAUAUGACUGCCACAUGUGCGCCUAUUUUCAAGCUUCUUCAGAAAGAUCAGUCUUGUGAUUGGACCGAAGAUUACCAUAAAGCUUUUGAUAGUAUCAAAGAGUACUUGCUUGAGCCUCCUAUUUUGUCUCUGCUUGUUGAAGCAAGACCGUUGAUCAUGUAUUUGACUGUGUUGGAUGAUAGUAUGGAUUGUGUUCUUGGUCAGCAAGGUGAAUCGGGAAAGAAAGAAUAUGCAAUUUACUACCUCAGUAAGAAAUUCACCGACUGUGAGACUCGGUAUUCUAUGCUUGAAAAGACAUGUUGUGCAUUGACUUGGGCUGCUAAGCGUCUACGCCAAUAUAUGUUGAACCAUACCACUUGGUUGAUAUCCAAAAUGGAUCCAAUCAAGUAUAUCUUUGAGAAGCCUGCUUUAACUGGGAGGAUUUCCCGUUGGCAGAUGUUGUUAUCUGAGUAUGAUAUUGAAUAUCGAUCUCAGAAAGUUAUCAAGAGUAGUAUCUUAGCAGACCAAUUGGCUCACCAACCGAUUGAAGAUUACCAGUCAGUGCAGUAUGAUUUUCCUAACGAAGAGAUUUUGUACUUGAAAAUGAAAGAUUGUGAUGAACCGCUGCUUGAAGAAGGGCCAGAACCUGGUUCCCGUUGGGGCAUGGUAUUUGAUGGAGUUGUUAAUUCAUAUGUGUCAUACCCCAAUUUGGUCAGGGCAUUUCAAAAUUUUCAUAAAUUUGAUUUAAUUUUCAGUUUUCAUCAUAUCUACAGCAUAACACGCAUUUCAUCAUGAAUAACACAUAAAAUAUCAGUCGGAAUAAAUUCUUGAAAAUACAAACAAGUUGGUUAAAUCAUUCCUCAAGUACGGACAAAAUCAGCGGAUAAAAAAGUUUUGAAAUUAAACUUGCAGACGUCAGUAUUAUUAAUCUAUGGUUCACGUAGUUUAAUCUGGUGUGCUCGUUUUAUUUUUCGACGACUUUUUCAGUCGCAUUUUGAUCCAUCUGAGCCUUUUAACCGGUGAAAAUUUAUUUCAAAAUUUAAAGAAACGCUGUAUUUUUUCAAUAAGUAUAUUUCGUGCUGAUCAUUUUAGUGCGUCUGAUUUAAUUUUUUGAGCAAAUUUUUGCCCGACUUUUAUUCAUUUUUAGUCGUUUUAAUUUUACUCUUUUGCCAAAAUAUUCAGAUUAAAUAAAUAGAAUUUUCCAUGUCCUUAGUUUAUUUUUAUCACAUUAAUUUAAGGAGUUGUCAAUUUUAUUUGAUUUAAUUGAUUUAAAUGGUUUAAAUCAAUUAAAUCAUAUAGAAUGGGCGUUUUAGGCAUUUUAAAUUAUCUAACAACUUUUGUUUCUUUGUGUGUUUCCUUAAGUUAUAUUGGGAUCAUCGGUUCAAAUUUAUCAAUGACCCAUAAUGGCAAUCCUUCUCCAUUUCAUUUCAUCCAAUCAAAAAUAAAAUAAAAUUAAUUGAAUUAAAAAUGACAAAGAAAAUUAGAAAAUAAAAAUAUCUUGUUUCUCCCCAGUAAAGUUGAGCCACACGUCCGUUAUGGAUAAGGAUUAUAUUUUUUUUAACUAAAGAAAAUGAAAUACAACUCAAUAACCUCUGUCCACUAAUGAAUCUCUGUUGGUCUAACGGUAAGAAAGGAAAAAAAACAAAAAGGACAACUAGCCUCCACACUCUCUCAGAGACUCUCUCAUUUUCCAAUGGCUAUAGGUCACAGAAAAAUAAAAUAAAAAGGAAAAAGGGGAACACCGUUCAUGUUCUUUCCCACAACUCCAUUCACUCACGUAGAACGCCAAUCAACCACAAUAAGCCGCCGGAAAACAUUAACUCAUUACAAUCGCCGCCUCCAUAAAACCUCCUUCACACUCACCUCCGCUGCGAACCCGGACCACCGUCCCAUCCAACCUUCCGCCACGAAUCUAAUCCCCACCGUUAUCUUCCCACCAUCACAAAGUCCCCUCUCCAACUUCUCUGUCGCGGCUACAACACCACGACACCCCCCCGUUGCACCGUCGGUGGCAACCCCAAACCAUCCGCCGGCGAACCCUUAUCCGUCUGUCACCAAUUCCGACCACCGCAAAACCAUCUCACUUCGCUCAUUCCAUCUCCGUUCCUUCACCUGCGCAAACUAAGCGCCAUAGUCGCCCAACACACCUCUCCUUCUUCUUCUCUAAGUUCCGCCGGCAAACGAUUCUUCCGUUGGAAACACCAUCACCAUCAUAAAACUCUCCUCAUCAUGGAAUCACAGUCCAUUUCCUUCAUACACCCUCGCCGACAACGUCCAAAACAUUACUCCCUUUUACUACUUCAGAUCUACAAACUCAACCGUCGCCCGUGAAUCCUCCACCGCGACCCACCUUCAACUACCGCAUGAUCCUUUUUCCGACCGACCAACCCCAAGCUACACCAUUCAACAUCGUCAAACACAUGACGCCCAUCGCCGGCGGAAUAUUACAUCUACCUGCACCGUCAAGCCUCUCUCGUUACGGUAUUCUUGCGUCACCGUCAUUUUCCGUGUUUGGUUGGUUUUCCUGUCUUAUCUCUUUCUAUACUCGUUGUUCUAAUGAAUUUCAUGGAAUUGUAGCAUAUCUAUGAUGGUGUAUAUCGAUUAUGCCGGUUAUGUUUCAAUUUCAUCAUGUGACUUUUGUUGACUAUCAUGUUGUUGUGUUUGUUCAUAAGGAAGUUGGAAAAAGUAGCUAAGCACAUGCUUGUGUGGUUUAAUCUCUGUGUUUUUUUAUUAGGAUAUUAGAUUGUUGUGGAUCUUUUAAAUAUUGCAUGUAGUAAUAUAUUGAUUAAUUGGCCAAUAGAUUGUGAGAUAUUAAAAGUCUGUUACGGCUGAUUUUGGUUUGGUAUCUUGCCAAGAAUAUGUAAAUAAAAAGUUAAGUUAUAGCAUAUGAAUGGUGGUAAUCAUAAUUCUGAGUAGUAGUACAUAUAUUGUAAUUAUAUUUUGGUUAUAUCACAGUGUACAUAGAUUGUAAUUAUAAGUUGGUUAAAUUAUAGCAUAUGAACGGUGGUAGUCAUAAUUCUCAGUAGUAGUAUAUAUAUUGUAAUUAUAUUUUGGUUAUAUUACAGUGUACAUAGCUUGUAAUUAUAUUUUGGUUAUAUUAUAGCAUAUGAAUAGUAGUAAUCACAAUUCUGAGUUAAUUAAGUAUUAAUAUUUUAAUUGUAUUAACAAUUGAUUGCUAU